GCGGCAAUGACUCUUUUCCACAUUUCAUGAUUUUCCAGAAGAUGCUGCGUGAUCUGGCAAAACACUUUCCUCCUGCUCACCUUUUUGGUUUCUUGCCGUUCUGUUGGACACAAAGGAAACACAAAAGGAUUUGGUCGUCUCCAUGGUAACCAGGAGCUAUCCUCUAUAGGAUUUGUGGACGCGAGGGCUCGUGCCACUUCAAGGCUUCGCAAGCUUGACCUACACAGGCUUCACACUAUGACAACCAAGCUCGCUGCACCUGGUUACAGUGGGUCAACCCAGCGUCCUGGCAUGAGAGCAGCGGAGUCGUACGAUGAGCACAGAGGUCCCACUAUGUGAGUGAUGAAAGACUCCUGUAGUUUAGCGAGCUGCGGGGCCGACCGGUCCAUGAACGGGCUGAUGGGAAGGCCCAGGCUCGCUUCUUCGUCUCCCUAGAAGAGUGCGAACACAGCAAAUAUGACAGAGGCACAGAAACAAUAACAUUUAUGAUGGUGUAUGAUCAAUGCACUGGAAAAUGGAACAUUGAUAUUACGUGAUUAUGAGAUUUCAAGAGAACCAUUUUCCCCAAUGGCCCAUUUCUUUUUAAAAAGGUUGUUAUCUUGAAAUGAAUCCAGCAGUCUCUUUAGCAUCAGUUCUUAAGAAUUCGUGCAAUAUUUGAAUUUAAACCUCAGAGACACUCCUAAAAUUAUAAUCUUUUAUAAAUUAAAGAUGUUCUGGCUCACUA
This is a long non-coding RNA of Acanthopagrus latus (yellowfin seabream), 724 nucleotides long. RefSeq lists it as uncharacterized. NCBI's taxonomy places the organism in Eukaryota, Metazoa, Chordata, Actinopteri, Spariformes, Sparidae. The record is from RefSeq and is a predicted model, not a curated record. The transcript is spliced from 3 exons.